Molecule: ribosomal RNA, 251 nt
Filed under: uncultured bacterium
Lineage: Bacteria
Description: partial 16S ribosomal RNA
Rfam family: Bacterial small subunit ribosomal RNA
Source: RNAcentral
AAGUCGAACGAGACUUCGGUCUAGUGGCGGACGGGUGAGUAACGCGUAGGAACCUGCCAAUCAGUGGGGAAUAACAGCUGGAAACGGCUGCUAAUACCGCAUACGCCCUUCGGGGGAAAGCUUUAUGCGCUCAGGGAGGGUCCCGCGUCCGAUUAGUUAGUUGGCGGGGUAACGGCCCACCAAGACAUCGAUCGGUAGCUGGUCUGAGAGGAUGAUCAGCCACACUGGGACUGAGACACGGCCCAGACUCC